RNAcentral lists this microRNA (20 nucleotides) under Ciona intestinalis (vase tunicate). RNAcentral describes it as "cin-miR-4134-5p". Lineage: Eukaryota; Metazoa; Chordata; Ascidiacea; Phlebobranchia; Cionidae. The record is from miRBase by way of RNAcentral.
UAAAAACAGGCAGUGUAAAU